This 374-nucleotide RNase P RNA is filed under the name Oenococcus kitaharae. RNAcentral describes it as "RNase P RNA component class B". It matches the Rfam family "Bacterial RNase P class B". From Rfam's summary of the family: Ribonuclease P (RNase P) is a ubiquitous endoribonuclease, found in archaea, bacteria and eukarya as well as chloroplasts and mitochondria. Its best characterised activity is the generation of mature 5'-ends of tRNAs by cleaving the 5'-leader elements of precursor-tRNAs. RNAcentral also lists the same sequence under 2 other names. Lineage: Bacteria; Bacillati; Bacillota; Bacilli; Lactobacillales; Lactobacillaceae. The record is from RNAcentral.
CAAAUCGGACAAUUGCGCGAUGAAAGACUCGUGAGGAAGGUCCAUGCCCGUCCGAUCUGCGAUGAUUGGAGUUUUUGUACCGAGCCUAAUAAGCGAAGGUGGGUGGCAUUCGUGUUAUCCGACGGCUGGAAAAAGCGCUAAACUUCGGCAUGCGUGAUUAUCCUAUAAAAGUGCUAUAGCGACGAAGAACCGGGAAACUGGGGAAGUGAGACGACGUAAACCCUGCAAGCGGGCAACCCAAACUUUUGGUAGGGGCGGUCAAUUUAGCUAACUGAAGUAAAAAUUGACACUGAUAUCGCAAAAUAUCGGUAGAUAGAUGAUUGUCGAAGAAUACGGCUGCCAACCGUAUUUGGAACAUAACAUGGCCUAUAGAU